UGGGGGAUAUUGCACAAUGGGCGAAAGCCUGAUGCAGCGACGCCGCGUGGGGGAUGAAGGCCUUCGGGUUGUAAACUUCUUUUGCUCUGAACAAGGCGCACCAUGGGGUGUGUUGAGUGUAGGGGUUGAUUAGCGCCGGCUAACUACGUGCCAGCAGCCGCGGUAAUACGUAGGGCGCGAGCGUUGUCCGGAAUUAUUGGGCGUAAAGGGCUUGUAGGUGGCUGGUUGCGUCUGUCGUGAAAGCUCAUGGCUUAACUGUGGGUUUGCGGUGGGUACGGGCUGGCUUGAGUGCAGUCGGGGAGGCUGGAAUUCCUGGUGUAGCGGUGGAAUGCGCAGAUAUCAGGAGGAAUACCGGUGGCGAAGGCGGGUCUCUGGGCUGUUACUGACACUGAGGAGCGAAAGCAUGGGGAGCGAACAGG
RNAcentral lists this ribosomal RNA (419 nucleotides) under bacterium. Its description in RNAcentral is "partial 16S ribosomal RNA". It matches the Rfam family "Bacterial small subunit ribosomal RNA", at positions 355 to 776 of the family's 1533-position model. The record is from RNAcentral.